Molecule: long non-coding RNA, 1036 nt
Organism: Bos taurus (domestic cattle)
Lineage: Eukaryota; Metazoa; Chordata; Mammalia; Artiodactyla; Bovidae
Source: Ensembl
CUUUUGUGUUUUUGAUUUUUGUUUUGCUUUGUUGGAACUCUAUUGUAAGCAGUAUGUAGCUGGGUGUAUCCAAGCUUUCUUUAAUGAAAGUUUAAACAAAUUUUUUAUUUCUCCGAACUCUUUAAUAGAGCAAUUAAUUAGAACUAAUGCCAUUAAUAAACAAAGGAAAUAAACUGUAUCAUUUCAUCCCUUUUAAAAAAUGAAGUCAUACUAUUAUGUUUCCAGAAAUGAAGUAUUAUUGCUCCAGUUUGAAGUGAAUGACUUUAAGAUCAUUGCAGAUGCAGAGCACAUAUCUGUGGCAGUAUCUCACAGUUCAUCAUUGUGCUGUUCACUCUAGGGGGUUUUACAAGAUGCUGCUGUGCUUACUGAAAGAUGGCAAAGGAAAUUUACUUCAUAGGAAUACAUGGAUCAUAACCAAAGAAAGGACUACAUAUACAAGUAUUAUCAGGUUUGGCUGGUAGAAGACCAAAAGGGAGCACUGAGAAUUGAAAGUGCUUAUUUUUCAUAUUCAAGAAAGGUAAAGGCUGUUCUUCAGUCAAAGUCCCAAGUUGUGAACAAGUAACCACUGGUAAUCAAGAUAACUUCCAAUUAAUUCAAAAGCUCUGAAAAUGAAUCAGUAACAUCACACCAGUGACUCUGGUUCCAAAAAUGAGCAAGUCAACAGCAGCCUCACCACAGUCUUAUGAAACUGGGCAAAUUGAUGCCAACGUUACACUUGUGGACAAUAGCUGGGCAAAAGUGCCUUGCUCCAGUGACCACACUGCAGCUCUCCCUCUCCCUGCGCCAUUGAGGACACAGUGAGAAGGCAGCUCUUUUCAAGCCAGAAAGAGAACUCUCACCAGGAACUGAAUUUGUUGGUACCUUGAUCUUGGACAUCUCAGCUUCUAAAACUGUCAAAUGUACCAUCAUCGUAUACCUUAAAAAUGUACUCUUCAAUGGCAAAAUGUUUUCAGAACAAAAAAGCAUGAGUGAAUGAAUAUGUCAUUCUCAGGACAUAGAAAAGUGCCAGAGAAGCGUGAGUGGCAGCUGCCUGAAG